GAUGAACGCUAGCUACAGGCUUAACACAUGCAAGUCGAGGGGAAACGACAUCGAAAGCUUGCUUUUGAUGGGCGUCGACCGGCGCACGGGUGAGUAACGCGUAUCCAACCUGCCCACCACUUGGGGAUAACCUUGCGAAAGUAAGACUAAUACCCAAUGAUAUCCCACGAAGGCAUCCGAAUGGGAUUAAAGAUUUAUCGGUGAUGGAUGGGGAUGCGUCUGAUUAGCUUGUUGGCGGGGUAACGGCCCACCAAGGCUACGAUCAGUAGGGGUUCUGAGAGGAAGGUCCCCCACAUUGGAACUGAGACACGGUCCAAACUCCUACGGGAGGCAGCAGUGAGGAAUAUUGGUCAAUGGACGAGAGUCUGAACCAGCCAAGUAGCGUGCAGGAUGACGGCCCUAUGGGUUGUAAACUGCUUUUAUAAGGGAAUAAAGUGGGUCACGUGUGACUUUUUGCAUGUACCUUAUGAAUAAGGACCGGCUAAUUCCGUG
This 492-nucleotide ribosomal RNA is filed under the name uncultured bacterium. RNAcentral describes it as "bacterial SSU rRNA". It matches the Rfam family "Bacterial small subunit ribosomal RNA", at positions 28 to 507 of the family's 1533-position model. The record is from RNAcentral.